GCGCAGCAGUCGCGAAUACUUUACAAUGUGCGAAAGCACGAUAAGGGAACUCUGAGUGCCUCCUAAGGAGGCUGUUCAGGUGUCUAAAAGCACCUGAAGGAAGGGCUGGGUAAGACCGGUGCCAGCCGCCGCGGUAACACCGGCAGCCCAAGUGGUAGCCACGUUUAUUGGGUCUAAAGCGUCCGUAGCCGGCUGGGUAAGUUCCUUGGGAAAUUUGGCUGCUUAACAGUCAAGCUUUCAGGGAAUACUGCCCGGCUUGGGGACCGGGAGAGGUCAGAGGUACUCCAGGGGUAGGGGUGAAAUCCAUUAAUCCUUGGGGGACCACCGGUAGCGAAGGCGUCUGACCAGACCGGGUCCGACGGUGAGGGACGAAGGCUAGGGGCGCGAACCGGAUUAGAUA
RNAcentral lists this ribosomal RNA (400 nucleotides) under uncultured microorganism. RNAcentral's name for it is "bacterial SSU rRNA". It matches the Rfam family "Archaeal small subunit ribosomal RNA", at positions 330 to 735 of the family's 1478-position model. The record is from RNAcentral.